Dermochelys coriacea (leatherback sea turtle) is the source of this 1967-nucleotide long non-coding RNA. RefSeq lists it as uncharacterized. The transcript has 2 exons. Lineage: Eukaryota; Metazoa; Chordata; Testudines; Dermochelyidae. The record is from RefSeq and is a predicted model, not a curated record.
UGCACUUAAUGCACUUAGAGCAUUUUGUGUGGAGACACACACAAUCGACUAUAUAAAAACUAUUUCUAAAAAACCGACUUCUAUAAAUUGGACCUAAUUUCGUAGUGUAGGCAUACCCUGAGCCACUUGUUUGUCAUAAACUAGGAUUUACUUCCUAUGAGAGGAAUUUAGGUUUUUAAUUAAUCCUUUUUUCUUCAUUUUUAAUUAAAACUAACCUAAGCAAAACAAAAUGUAUCACUUAGGUAAAUAUUUUUAAAAUAAAUAAGUUUAGUGCAUUUAUAUAUUAGAAAUUGGUACAGAAUAUUGAGUGUGUCUGCAUUUUCUAAGCAAACAAUGUUAGUCUUUUAGGUAAUUAGAAAUGCUGAAGAGAAAAAUAAAACCAUGGAGGAAAAUUCAAAGAAUCAAUCCAAUGGCAAAAUCAACAGAGUUAUCAAAAGAGCUGCUGCCUGGGAAAUUUCAGAUUCUGACACAGACAGUGAUGUUGAAUCAUGUCAAACCAGAAAUGUUACCCUGAUGCACCCAGCUGCUGAUACACUGGAUCAUGGCAUUUGUGAUCAUGUUGCACAAGAAGAGCUGAAAAGCUGUGUGUGUCAGUGAGUCUAAAGAGCUACUUUUGCCAACCUCUCCUCAGCAAGUAACUACAUCCUCUCCAAGCCCAAAUAAAAGGAGGAGAAGGAGAACGUCAGAGAAAAUAGAGGCAUGUCAAGCAAGAGUAAAACCAAGGAAACUCAAAAGGGAAAUCAAGAAGACAGAAAAAGAGAGGAGAAAAGCAGAGGAGGCACUAGAAAAACAGAGGCGAAGGGAAGCUGCUGAUGCCUUGAAGCUGCUUCGGCCAGACCAGUGUCUGAAGUACAUGACUGUCUGCAUAGACCUAGGUCUACUAGAAGAUCCUGGAUCAGAUGCUUUGAUGGAGGCUUUUGGUUCCUUGGAAUGUAAAUACUACAUUGAGUCUCAGGAAGUUCCCUGCAGCAUAACCUGGAGGAGAAACACUCCUAACAAUUUCUCCAGUACUGUGAUUAUCUGAAUCCAAUUUGUCCUCUCUUCCCUGAGGGGCCUCCUCAUAUGCCUUAUACAUUUAAACUGGCAACAGCUAUACUGUGGGAAAGGAGUUUUGAAUUGCAUUAAUUAUUAGUGCUGACAUUUUCAGUAGCCUUUCUAGGCAGGGCUAUGGGGUCAUCAGCCUCAGAUAUAUGAAUUCUGUGUGACCACUGUUAGUUCAGGGAAUGGAGUUGAGUCUGAUUGUCCUAUAGUUUAUUUCAAAGUGAGUGACUUUCAUGCAACUGGGUGUCAUUGUCUCAAGCACAUACACAUCCAGGAUGGACUAUGAAUCUCUGCAGCAAACAUGAUGGAGGUCAGAGUGAGUCAUUGAUUGUGGAGAGGUUUCAUAUAGAAAAAGAUUUCUAAAACAAAUUCUGUGUUUGCGAAGCAUUCUUGAUGGCUGCUGAGGAGGUGAACUGCAUUGCUAGGGAAGACAGAACGGGCCAGCUGCAGGCUCCCUUGCUGCUGAAUGAAGCCUUUGAGCUCUUUAGAAAAUCCUGUGGCUGUUUCUGAACAUAGGCUGAUGGAAAUCCUAGGGUGUGAAGUUACCUUCUCUCUGAUACCAAAUGCCACCAUAGCAGGAGAUGGGGAACCUUGCCAAUAAGAUGUAAUGAUCAGUACAGUGGCAUUAUUCUUUCCUGUGUCCCACUGCAAGGAUUUCAGGUUGGUGAGUUGAGGUCAGUCCUGUACUUGGAUGACUGGUUCUCUGGGUAACCCAUUAAAUGUUGUGGGAGAAAAGCUGGCUGGUGCUGUGACCCAGUGAUGUGGUGUGCAAUCCAGAUGUAGUGUGAACCUUUUGCUUGCUUUCCCACCUUGAUCUGGGCCUUCCAUCUGUGAAUAACUGGCUGUUGUCUCCAAUAAGCUGAAUUAGGUAAUGCUGUAACAUAGACGGCAGCACAGCCAAGUCCAGUUUCAACAUCUCUGUCUAG